GACGAACGCUGGCGGCGUGCUUAACACAUGCAAGUCGAACGGAAAGGCCCUGCUUUUGUGGGGUGCUCGAGUGGCGAACGGGUGAGUAACACGUGAGUAACCUGCCCUUGACUUUGGGAUAACUUCAGGAAACUGGGGCUAAUACCGGAUAGGAGCUCCUGCUGCAUGGUGGGGGUUGGAAAGUUUCGGCGGUUGGGGAUGGACUCGCGGCUUAUCAGCUUGUUGGUGGGGUAGUGGCCUACCAAGGCUUUGACGGGUAGCCGGCCUGAGAGGGUGACCGGCCACAUUGGGACUGAGAUACGGCCCAGACUACUACGGGAGGCAGCAGUGGGGAAUAUUGCACAAUGGGCGGAAGCCUGAUGCAGCAACGCCGCGUGCGGGAUGACGGCCUUCGGGUUGUAAACCGCUUUCGCCUGUGACGAAGCGUGAGUGACGGUAAUGGGUAAAGAAGCACCGGCUAACUACGUG
RNAcentral lists this ribosomal RNA (468 nucleotides) under uncultured bacterium. Its description in RNAcentral is "partial 16S ribosomal RNA". It matches the Rfam family "Bacterial small subunit ribosomal RNA", at positions 28 to 507 of the family's 1533-position model. The record is from RNAcentral.